Molecule: non-coding RNA, 100 nt
Filed under: Candidatus Accumulibacter
Lineage: Bacteria; Pseudomonadati; Pseudomonadota; Betaproteobacteria
Description: TPP sequence
Rfam family: TPP riboswitch aptamer (THI element)
About the family: Vitamin B(1) in its active form thiamin pyrophosphate (TPP) is an essential coenzyme that is synthesised by coupling of pyrimidine and thiazole moieties in bacteria. The previously detected thiamin-regulatory element, thi box was extended, resulting in a new, highly conserved RNA secondary structure, the THI element, which is widely distributed in eubacteria and also occurs in some archaea.
Source: RNAcentral
CGCUCACGUUGGGGGUGCCGCGCGGAUCACGCUGUGGCUGAGAGAGUCCCUUCGAACCUGUACGGGUCAUGCCGUCGUAGGGAAGCGGAGCGCACGGGGU